AGGAAUCUGCCUGGUAGUGGGGGACAACGUUUCGAAAGGAACGCUAAUACCGCAUACGUCCUACGGGAGAAAGCAGGGGACCUUCGGGCCUUGCGCUAUCAGAUGAGCCUAGGUCGGAUUAGCUAGUUGGUGGGGUAAUGGCUCACCAAGGCGACGAUCCGUAACUGGUCUGAGAGGAUGAUCAGUCACACUGGAACUGAGACACGGUCCAGACUCCUACGGGAGGCAGCAGUGGGGAAUAUUGGACAAUGGGCGAAAGCCUGAUCCAGCCAUGCCGCGUGUGUGAAGAAGGUCUUCGGAUUGUAAAGCACUUUAAGUUGGGAGGAAGGGCAGUAAGCGAAUACCUUGCUGUUUUGACGUUACCGACAGAAUAAGCACCGGCUAACUCUGUGCCAGCAGCCGCGGUAAUACAGAGGGUGCAAGCGUUAAUCAGAAUUACUGGGCGUAAAGCGCGCGUAGGUGGUUUGUUAAGUUGGAUGUGAAAGCCCCGGGCUCAACCUGGGAACUGCAUCCAAAACUGGCAAGCUAGAGUACAGUAGAGGGUGGUGGAAUUUCCUGU
RNAcentral lists this ribosomal RNA (559 nucleotides) under uncultured bacterium. RNAcentral's name for it is "bacterial SSU rRNA". It matches the Rfam family "Bacterial small subunit ribosomal RNA", at positions 119 to 674 of the family's 1533-position model. The record is from RNAcentral.